RNAcentral lists this long non-coding RNA (570 nucleotides) under Lactuca sativa (garden lettuce). RNAcentral describes it as "long non-coding RNA (LSAT_LNC008268)". Lineage: Eukaryota; Viridiplantae; Streptophyta; Magnoliopsida; Asterales; Asteraceae. The record is from RNAcentral.
GAUUUUUAGCCGACGGGAUCUAAAUGAAAGUUGUAGUACUCGUAAAUACCAACGCGUGGAUAUAAAGAACGUCGAUAAUAGAGCUCGUAUGCAAAAGUUAUGGACGAAGCUUAGUCCCUACUUUUCGAGCGCGGCGAAUUCGAUACAGUUUUGUAAAUACGAGAUAGAAUGAGAAUUAGCCAACGAGGUCUAAAUGAGAGUUGAAGAUCUCAUUAAUAGGAACUCAACGGUAAAAAGACAGACAAAAAUGGAGCUCGUAUGCGAAAGUUAUGGACGAAGCUUAGUCCCUACUUUUCGAGCGCGGCGAAUUUGAUACAGUUUUGUAAAUACGAGAUAGAAUGAGAAUUAGCCAACGAGGUCUAAAUGAAAGUUGAAGAUCUCAUUAAUAGGAACUCAACAGUAAAAAGACAGACAAAAACGGAGCUCGUAUGCAAAAGUUACGGACGAAGCUUGGAGACUACUUUACUAUACACUUCCUAUAAAUACAAGGGUGAACUCCUCAUAUUUUCUUCACACCAUAAGCCUUUCUUUCUCUCUCUAACUUCUCUCUAGCCUCCCUAAACCCCUCCC